GCGCCUAUCGUCUAGCCUGGUCUAGGACACCGCCCUUUCACGGCGGCGACGCGGGUUCGACUCCCGCUGGGGUCGCCA
This 78-nucleotide transfer RNA is filed under the name Burkholderiaceae bacterium. RNAcentral's name for it is "tRNA-Glu". It matches the Rfam family "tRNA". From Rfam's summary of the family: Transfer RNA (tRNA) molecules are approximately 80 nucleotides in length. Their secondary structure includes four short double-helical elements and three loops (D, anti-codon, and T loops). The record is from RNAcentral. Lineage: Bacteria; Pseudomonadati; Pseudomonadota; Betaproteobacteria; Burkholderiales; Burkholderiaceae.